This is a long non-coding RNA of Oncorhynchus tshawytscha (Chinook salmon), 1113 nucleotides long. The record is from Ensembl. NCBI's taxonomy places the organism in Eukaryota, Metazoa, Chordata, Actinopteri, Salmoniformes, Salmonidae.
UUUAUGCUCUGUGCAGUCUAGUUCGCUGGGAUAACCAGAAUUAUGUUAAAGAUGGUUUAUUCUUGACAUGAACCUUUCUCUAGACAAACAGGCUGAGGAUUUAGAUGGCAUUAUAGUCCAGCCAUUAAAGCUGCGAGCCAAAGAGACGGGGAACCACCUUGUUAUGUAUCGCCUCCAACUGUGCUUCCUGGUCUGUUAAACAAUCACUUCCUCCUUCCCUAUCCUCCCAUCAGCCUCUGUGUCUGAUUGGAUGUCUGAUCAACACCCUGACUGACAGCAUACACAUCUGUCCCCAUUGGCAAUCUACCUGCAAGUUGAAAUGGAGGGGCAGACAGACAGACGAGGGGUGGAACCGCUGGGUGAGGAGAAAGGAAGGAAGGAAGCAGGGUUUAAAUGGUGCCUUAAGGCAUGGAAGAAGAGGACAGCAGUAGUUAGAGAGCAGCUGUAAUCACCAGACAGACAGUGCCACGCAGAUGCCAGCUGUACAGUGAUGGCCAUGCUGUCCUGAUGCCCCUCAGAUGGCACUAACCGUGCCAGGGAGAGGCCACGAUACCUGGCAGAGGGCACACACACACAUUAGCCCUGCACGCCAGUACCUUCCACUCAGACCAGGUGGCCAGUUGAGAACAAGUUCUCAUUUACAACUGCGACCUGGCCAAGGAUGAUGCCAUGGAUGAUGUCAUGAAUGAUGUCAUGGAUGAUGUAAUGGAAGAAGUCAUGGAUGAUGUCAUGGAAGACAUCAUGGAUGAUGCCAUGGAAGACAUCAUGGAUGAUGUCAUGGAAGACAUCAUGGAUGAUGCCAUGGAAGACAUCAUGGAUGAUGCCAUGGAUGAUGUCAUGGAAGAUGUCAUGGAAGACAUCAUGGAUGACGUCAUGGAUGAUGUUUCUAAUAUAACAUCUAUGAUCAGUUAAGCAUGUGAAGUACCAAUGAACUUUUUGUAAAUGUACAAGACCAAAAUGUACAAUAGGCCUAUCUACACAGUCACACACAGCAGAGCACUGUUAAAGUCUCACUGCAGACUGUUAAAAGAGAGAUAUAGAGAGAACCAGUUAUAAAAUGAAUAUAAUGUUCAGAUGUUUGAAGGUUCAUUAAAACUGAACAAAUGAAUCCCC